GCGGGGCAGGAAGGCAGCUGUGCGGGCUCCUGCAGUCCGGGUCACCGCGCCACGCAGGAGACACGUGCGUGCGGCAGCGCGCCCCAGCCUUGUUCCUGCAGCGCCCCCCCAGGAACCCCGGCCCGCCCCCGCCCCGCCAGCCCUCACCGCUGCCGUCUCUGUGUCGCCCCCUCCAGGCCUGCUGCUCCCGGGCCUGCGAUCCCCGCCGCGCGAUCGCGAUGCAGCCCCCGGGCCGGGCGGCCGCCGAGGAGGCCGCGGGCCGCGACCUGCUGGCCGCCGACCUGCGCUGCAGCCUCUUCGCCGCCGCGCUGCGCAGCUACAAGCGCGACUCUGCGCUGCGGCCCUUUCCCGCCGCCUACGCCCGCGGCGACUGCAAGGACUUUGAGGCCCUGCUUGCAGAUGCCAGUAAGUUACCUAGCCUGAAAGAACUUCUAUCCUCUGGAGACAAAGACCGGUGGGCCUGGGACCUGCUGAGCUGGAUUUUGUCCUCCAAAGUCCUCACAAUCCACAGCACAGGGAAGGCAGAGUUUGAAAAGAUCCAGCAGCUGACUGGUAGCCCUCACACGCCUGUGCCAGUCCCGGACUUCCUGUUCGAAAUUGAGUAUUUCAACCCAGCCAACGCCAAAUUUUAUGAGACCAAAGGAGAACGAGACCUCAUCUAUGCCUUCCAUGGUAGCCGCCUGGAAAACUUCCAUUCCAUCAUCCACAAUGGCCUGCACUGCCAUCUCAACAAGACGUCCUUGUUUGGAGAGGGGACCUACCUCACAAGUGACCUGAGCUUGGCCCUCAUUUACAGUCCCCACGGCCACGGGUGGCAGCACAGCCUUCUCGGGCCCAUCCUUAGCUGUGUGGCUGUGUGUGAGGUCAUCGACCAUCCGGACGUCAAGUGCCAGACCAAGAAGAAGGAUUCCAAGGAGCUAGACCGCAGCAGAGUGAGAAUCAAACACAGCGAGGGAGGAGACAUCCCGCCUAAGUACUUCGUGGUCACCAACAACCAGCUCCUGCGAGUGAAGUACCUGCUGGUGUAUUCGCAGAAGCAGCCCAAGAGAUCAGACUGGGCUGUUUCCUGAGGAAGCAAGUCCCCUGGAAAGCACCGUCCUCUGGGUGCUCCUAAAUCAUCCUGUCGUGAGCAGAGCUGGGCAGUGGCACCUGGGUGCAGCUCUGCCACUGUCAGGGCCCAGCACCAUGCACCUGGCCAGGCCACACCAUGCCAUAGGACGGGGCUGGGGGACCCAGGGCAGAGUUCUCAGACAGGGGAACAACCCCAACACAUACAUCUGCUUUGCUGCCUGGGCCGGCAGGGGAGGAGAAUGCCGUCUCCUCAGCUGAUCUGCAGAGGGGGGUUUCCUGGAGGAACCCCUGGCUGGUGCAGCUGGAGGGGAGGAAGGCAGACAGUGUGGGAGCCCUGGGCAGCCCAUGGGUCUCUGUGGACAGGUGUCUCACUCCCAUCUGUCUCAGACCUUCCACUUUGCUUUUGUGAGCUGAGCAAAUCAAUGUGAUCAUUGUAACUAUGCUGGGUUUUUCCACGUGGGCGGCUGCAUUUCAGUUGGCUACAGUUUCCCUGAGGGAGUGAUGUGCUUGCCUGUACACUUGCAUUUCUGGAUCAGCUGUGGGUGUAUCUUUUUUUUCUAUCUUUUUUUGAAUUAAGGUCUGCCUAUGUAGGGCAGGGUCGGCUUGAACUCAUUAUGUAGCCCAGGCUGGUCUCAAACUCUUAGCAAUCUUCCUGUCUCAGCCUCUAGGGCCUUGGCAUUAUAAGCAUGCACCACCAUUCCUGGCUGGAUAUGGGUAAUUUUGAAGGAAAAGUCUUUGCAAGGGUGAGUGGGUCUAUACCUGUGUAUGUGUCCCAGGAAUAUACUUGUCGGGUCCUUAGAGUGGAACUAUGAGCUUGUCUUCAGGGGCAAGUGGAGAGAUUAAGAGGGAUACAGUAUAUCUGUCUAAGUGCUGCUGUGGGGGUCUUUCCUGUAUAUAUUUGUCUACUUGUGUGUCUGUCUGGGAUCUCCUAGAGGGUGGAACUGGGGUGGUGGACAGAGCCCUGACAGAAGAGUCUAAAAUAUAGGUCCUGCUGAGCAUGGUAACACAUGCCUGUGAUACCAGCACUCCAGGAGGCUGAGACAGGAGGAUCGUUGUGAGUUUGAGACCAGACUGAACUACAAAGUGAGCUCAAGGUCAGCUUGAACUGCAUAGUGAGACCCUGUCUCAAAAAGACAAUAAAAUAAAAUAAAAUACAGGUCCUGCUGGGCAUGCCUGUAAUCCCAACACUUGGGAGGCUGAGGCAGGAGAAUCACUGUGAGUUCCAGGCCAGCCUGGGCUACCUAGUGAGUUUAAGGCCAGCCUUAACUACAUAGUCAGAUCCUGUCUCCAAACAACAACAACAUUAAAAACAAGUCUUAGCUCAGAUUCACUCCAUGGUCUGGCCUCAAUUUCCUCCUCUGUAAAGUGAAGAGACUGAGUCACCAGUAACCAUGUAGGCCUUCCUUGGAUUGCAGAGGGAUAUGCUUGAUUCCUGAGUUAAUUGCUGUUUAGGGAUCAAAUGGAAGACACCUCAUUGUAGAGGCUUUGGGCUUGGACAGACUGGAGUUGAACACCACCGUGCAGUAUGUGGGCUGUGCGUCCUUUGGAGUCACUUCUCUCCCUCUCAAGUGUCAUCACAAUUAAGAGAAUAACAGGUAAAGCAUUGGCCUGGUGCCCAGUUCCUACCCUUUAGAGUCUGAAGUCUUCAUCAUAACCUACUAAUUCAGGUCCAGGGGGGACGCUGCCCCUCUCCACCCUGGCUCCACAUGGCACUUUUCCUUCUGGCCCUGCAGGCUGCUGAGCUGAGGAGUAACAGGCCACAGGGUGGAGCCGGGUCAGGGCAACUUCGAGGGGCUCAUCUGUCACACAGGUUCACCCAACACCUCUCAGAGCUUCCAACCAGCCCACUCAGUGCUACUGCGCAGCUCCAGGAUGACCAGAACCUCAGGCUGACCAAUGGGCUUGCAGAGGACUCCACGCAUCCCUGACCACGGUCCAGCUGAUUCUGUCACUCAUCCAACAGGGUCCCUCAGCACCCCACCUCAGCUGUGCCAAGAGUUAUGCUGAUUCAGAGGAUACAAGACAGACAAGAUCCCUGCUGUAGGGAGUGGAGAAGUAUGGGGGACCUGGCCAAGAUCCCCAACUACCUGUAUGAGGGGUAUGGCAAAGGAUACAAUAAGAAACAGAGACACAUUUAGUAAUGCAUGAUGGAGGGCUGGGAGGUCAGUGCCUCAGGAUGGACAGAGACCCAGAUUCUCCAAACCAGCCACUGUUUAUUAGGUGUGUACCAUGCAGUGGGUGUCUACAAUGACAGGAGGGGCUAGUAGAAGAUUCCAGGUUGGCAGAGGAUUCAGAGGUUGAUGACACUGCAGGCAAUGGGAUGAUUCAAGAGGGUGGAGAUGGUCUUAUGCUAAGGAGGCUCUUACUCUGGAGUGUUCUUUUCCGUUUUAGGUGUCUUAGAGUAGUUUUAGUGGGUGGGAGAGGAUGGCCUAUCCCAAGAGUUAAUGGGAAAUCUCAUAAUCCCAAAUCUCCAUGUAUCCCUUAGAGAAGUAUGGAGAAUUAGCUACUGUGAAUCCACUUUUGUGGUCCCCAGUAGAGAAGUAAAUGAUGAAGCUGGGUAUGGUUGACACAUGCUGGUAAUGCCAGCACAUAGGAGGCUAAGGCAAGUUUGAGGCCAGCCUGAGCUACAUAGUGAGACCCUGUCUCAGAAAACAAAUAGAAAUCCACCCAGACAUAUAAAUGCGUGAAUGUUUAUAAGAGUUUUACUUGCCAGCUGGGAUUACACACCUGUAAUCCCAGCACUUGGGAGGCUGAGGCAGGAGGAUCUUGUGAGUCUGAGACCAGCCUGGGCUACAAAGUGAGCUCGAGGCCAGUUUGAAUGCACAGUGAGACCUUGUCUCAAAAAAGAAACAAACAAAUUUAAAUGAACUAAAACUCAAAUGUUCAUCAUCAGGAAAAUAGAUAAGUUACAAAGCUUUCAUAUAGUGGGAUGCUUAUGUCCCAGAAUAAAGACAGAUGAAUUCUUGACUGUGAACAAUGUGGAUAAAUCUCAAAAUCAGCCAGUCUUGUAAAAAAAGUAUUUUAUAUUAUAUUGUUCCAUGUAAGAGGAUUCUAGAAAAUGAGCUGGGUGUGGUGGCACAUGCCUAUAAUCCCAGCACUCAUGAGGCUGAGUCAGGUGGUUUGCUGCCACUGUCUGAGUGAGAUGCUGGUGGGUGUGGCGACAGGGGACAUGGAAGGCAGUGGACCAACGUGAGGUGUUUUGAGACCUAAGCUGUAAGACUUGCUGGAAGUUUGGCUAUAAGACAAGGGGCCAGCAGAGAAAUCUGGGUGGGUGGGUGCCUAUAAAAACACUGCGGCUCUGUUAUCUGGGGAAGCCUGGUGCAGGAACAGCUUCAUGAGUGGGGAUCUCUCUAUCUCUUUGCAAUUCUGGUGAUUGAACCCAGGGCCUCUGCACUGAGCUAUACUCCCAGAUCUUUGUUAUUUUUUAUGUCCAGACAAAGUCUCAUUAAGUUGUUAAAUUUCCCAGGUUGGGUUUGAACUUGCCAUCCUCCAGCCUCAGCUUCCCAGAGGGCUGAGAUUACAGGCAUGGGCCACUACGCCCAGCAAAAGGUCCUCUGUUUGUCCCUGGAGAUGCAUGGGCCCCGGAGAAGAGUCUGGGUGGAGAUGAAAUUUGGAGGAUGUUAACAAAUAAAUCGUAUCUGAAAGCCAAGGGAAUGGUGAGAACGUGCAGGGAGAGAGGUCAGAGGAUAUGAGGACUGCACCAGGGCUGCAGCACCUUGAUGUCCCCUUCAGGAGGGGACCUGAAAAGCAAGCGCACCCAGGAGCAGCAGCUGGACAGGGACCUGGCUGUGCUCCUGUCCUGGGGCUCAGGUGAGAAAGCCCUGAAACACCCAGAAAUGUAUUCACUGCCAGUUCUGGAGGCCAGAAACUCAGAAUCAGAUCCCUGGGCUGAACCUGAAGCGUUGGCAGGGACGCUCAUCAUGGGGAAUUCGUGCCUGGACAUGGUGCAGCCGGCUGCUGCUUUUUUCCUAGUCCCCUCCUCUCCCUCCCGCCCCUCUCCCUUCCUCCUCAUUUACUGAAGCUCUGUUUCCAUUUUUUCCUUCUUUUUUCUUCUUGUCACUUCUUUCCUUUCGCCUGCCCCUCCCUUUUUCCCUUUCUUAUUAGAACAUUUUCUGCCCAUUUCCCUGUAUCUAUCAUACACUUGGGUCCUUUAGCUUUCUUACACCAGAGAAACAAAGCAGUAUUUAAACGUGUGUGUCCAAUUUAUUUCUCUUAAAAUUAUGAUCUCAAGUACAUUCAUUUAGAUAAAAUGUCUCAAGCUUAUCCUUUAUGAAAGAGUAGUACUCCAUUGUAUAAAAAGCCACAUCUUCUUUAUCACAAGUUGAUGGCACUAGUUGAUGAGAUUUAGAUAUUACAAAUUGGGGUACUUUACAUAUAGGUACACAAAUAUCGCUGUGGUUCGAUGCUUUUAAUUCUUUCAUGAAGAUACCAAGAAGGGGAAUAGCUGGGUCAAAUGGGCCUCCAGUACGAGUUUUGUGAGGAACCCCCACACUGAUUUCCACGUGGUCACACCAGUCUACACUCCCUGCCAACAGCCCACAGUGGAGAAAGGUUCUUUUCUCCCCCACAACUCCUCCAGCAUUUGUUAUUGGUUGAUUUCUUGAUGAUAGCCAUUCUUUCUGGAGUGAGACAGAAUCUCUGUGUGGUUUUAAUUUGCAUUUCUCAAGUGACCAAUGAUGCUGAACAUUUUUUCAUAUAUUCAUUUGGCAUUUCUAGGCUUCAUCUGAGAAAUGUCUGUUUAUUUCACAUACCCAUUUUGGACUGGGUCUUCCAAUUCGGGGGGUGGAUUUUUUUUUUUUUUUUAAAUUCUGGCUACUAGUCUUUUGUUUGAGGAGCAGCUGGAGAAAUAUUUUCCCCCACACUGUAGGUUGUCUCUUCACUCUGUUAGUGGUUUCUUUUGCUGUGCAAAAGCUUUUUAAUAAGAGGAUAUCCCAGUUGUUGAUUCUCUGUGAUAGUUCCUGUGCAACUGGGGUUUUAAAGUCUUUGUCUAGACCAGUGCUUUCAAAAGUUCUGCCUAUUCUAUCUUCCAGCAGAUUUAGUGUUUCUAUUGUAGUAUUUAGAUCUUUGUUCCAUUUUGAUUUUAGGUUAGUGCAUGGUAAAAUAUAUGUGUCUAGUUUUAAUCUUCAACAUGUAAAAAGCCAGUUUUUCCAGCACCAUUUAUUAAAGACGUUGUCUUUCUUCCUGUGAACAUGUUUGUCAAAGCCAAGAUGGCUAAGUAUGUUUCAAGUUGUUUCUGCAUCUUCUAAUCUGUCCUGUUGAUCCUCAGAUCUGUCCUCCUCUCCAGUACCAUGCUGUUUUUAUCACAGUAGCUUUGUAGUAUAAUCUCAUCAGGGGUUGUAAUGCCCCUGCUUUUUCUUUGUCAUCCAGAAUUACUUUUGCUCUUCUAGGUUUCUUCUCAUUACAAAUGAAUUGUGGGAUUGUUUUCUCUAAUUAGGUGUGCUAUGCUAUUGAUAUUUUGAUCAGGAUUGCCUUAAAUUGUACAACCAUUUUGGAAGUAUGGCCAUUUUCACUAUAUUGAUUCUUCCUACCCAAGAACAAGAAAUAUUCUUCCAUUUUCUGAUUCCUCUUCAAUCUCCUUUUUUAGAGUACUGUAGUUUUCAGUAUUGAAGUCUUUUACUUCCUCUGUUGAUUGAUUCCUAGAUAUUUCACUUUGGGGGGGGUGCUAUUAUGAAGUGUUAUUUCCCUAAUUUCUGUUUUUAAAUUUUAUUUAUUUUGGGGGAGUGAGUAUUGGGAAUUGAACUCAGGACCUUGUGCUUACCAGGCAAGUGCUUGUGCCACUGAGCUAUGUCUCCAACCCCUUGUUUCCCUGAUUUCUGUCUCAGUGAGUUUGUUAUUUGUGUACAGGAAUCCUAUUGAUUUUUGAAUGUUGACUUUGUAUAUAGCUAUGUGACUGAAUUUGCUUAUUAAAUCUAAAAGUCUUUGGGUGGAGUUUUUAGGAUCUUUGUAGAAUAUCAUGUCAACCACAAAUAAUGUUAAUUUAACUUCUUCCUUUCUUAUCCUUAUUCCUUUUAUUUCUCUUUUUAAAUCUAAUUGCUCCAGAACUAUAUUGAAGAAGAGCAGUGACCGUGGAUAUCUUUGUCUUGUUCUUGAUUUUAUUUAUUUAUUUUUAUACCAAGAAUCGAACUUGGCACCUCGCAUUUGCCAGGCAGGCGCUAUGCCAUUGAGCUAUAUCCUUGGCCCUUGUUCCUGAUUUUAGACUGAAAACUUCUGGGUUUUGUCCAUGUACUAUGAUGUUGAUUGUGGGAUUUUCAUAGAUAACUGUUUUUCUUUUUGGGUACCAGGAACUGAACUCAGGACCUCACAUUUGCCAGGCAGGUGCUGCACCACUGCUAAAUCCCUGCUUUCUGUUACAGGUAACUUUUAUCAAAUUGAAAUAAA
Molecule: RNA transcript, 7449 nt
Organism: Cavia porcellus (domestic guinea pig)
Lineage: Eukaryota; Metazoa; Chordata; Mammalia; Rodentia; Caviidae
Gene: Parp16
Gene name: poly(ADP-ribose) polymerase family member 16
Exons: 7
Source: RefSeq, a predicted model, not a curated record